RNAcentral lists this ribosomal RNA (253 nucleotides) under uncultured bacterium. Its description in RNAcentral is "partial 16S ribosomal RNA". It matches the Rfam family "Bacterial small subunit ribosomal RNA", at positions 524 to 776 of the family's 1533-position model. The record is from RNAcentral.
GACGUAGGAGGCGAGCGUUGUCCGGAUUCAUUGGGCGUAAAGAGCACGCAGGCGGUUUGGCAAGUCGGAUGUGAAAACCCGGAGCUCAACUCCGGACCUGCAUCCGAAACUGCCCGACUAGAGGUAGGUAGGGGAGAUCGGAAUUCCUGGUGUAGCGGUGAAAUGCGCAGAUAUCAGGAGGAACACCGGUGGCGAAGGCGGAUCUCUGGGCCUUACCUGACGCUCAGGUGCGAAAGCUAGGGGAGCAAACAGG